UUAUUAUUAUACCUUCAUCCAAGGAAAUCAUUUUAUACUCUUAAUCUUAAAGAUAACCAUGUUAUUCUUGGCCCAUGAUCUCCUAAGAAUCUGGGCUUUUUAUACUUAAAGCCAAUAACUUUCUUUACAUUUCUGAAUUCCUUAGUUUCAUCUCUUCUCUGGGGGAAGAGGGGUUGCAUAGCAGUUAAACCCUCAAACCAUUGCAGGUGAUUAGCAAAGAAUUUCACUGAGUAUGUAGAAAAACGGAAG
Molecule: long non-coding RNA, 249 nt
Filed under: Homo sapiens (human)
Lineage: Eukaryota; Metazoa; Chordata; Mammalia; Primates; Hominidae
Description: HSALNT0272595
Source: RNAcentral